Odocoileus virginianus texanus is the source of this 410-nucleotide non-coding RNA. NCBI's taxonomy places the organism in Eukaryota, Metazoa, Chordata, Mammalia, Artiodactyla, Cervidae. The record is from RefSeq and is a predicted model, not a curated record.
UAUUGCCACUCAGAACCUUUUGAAGGAGAAGCUCUUACUUCUAAUAUAUAUUCAUAUAUUAAUUAUUUUUUUCAGGCAACAUGAUACUGAGAAUGAGGCUUGCUUUAGAAUUUGAUCACAUCAAUGACUGUCUGCACUGAACAAUGGAGCAUGAAGACUUGUAACAUGGUGAGGAAAGAAAAACACUGAAGCUGCUAAAUGGAAUUUAAUGAACACAUAUCGAUUUCUACUAAAUGCAAGAAAGAAUGAAGAGGCUGAGCCACAGUGGAGAUGAUGCCGAGUUGAAGAUGUGUCUGGUGGUUAAAGUAAAGCCUGAUGCUGUGUAGAACAGUACCACACAGGAACCUGUAGUGAGAGGUCCAUGAAGCAAGGAGACAGGAAUCAAGAUCAUCCCCAAGAAAAAGAAAUGC